CGAGCACGCGCGUGUGGCAUAUCAAUAAGCGGAGGAAAAGAAACUAACAAGGAUUCCCUUAGUAACGGCGAGUGAAGCGGGAAGAGCUCAAAUUUGAAAUCUUCAAGGUUCUACCUUGACGAAUUGUAGUUUAUAGAAGUGUUUUCUGUUAGUGGAGUGGCAAAAGUUCUUUGGAAUAGGACAUCAUAGAGGGUGAGAAUCCCGUAUUUGGUCAUUCCUCCUAGCGUUGUGAUACACUUUCAACGAGUCGGAUUGUUUGGGAAUGCAGUCCAAAAUGGGUGGUAAAUUUCAUCUAAAGCUAAAUAUUGGCGAGAGACCGAUAGCGAACAAGUACCGUGAGGGAAAGAUGAAAAGAACUUUGAAAAGAGAGUUAAACAGUACGUGAAAUUGUCAAAAGGGAAGCGUUUGACACCAGUGUUGUUUUUCCGAAAAUCAAUUACGAAUGUUUUGUUUUUGAGGAGUUAUGACUUCAUCGGCUUGCUCCUUUCUUUAUGAAACUUUCUUAAUGCACUUUUCGGUUAACAAGUCAACAUCAAUUUCUUUUGUUGUAAAAGGGUAUGAGGAAGGUGGCUUUCUUUUCGGAGAAAGUGUUUAUAGCCUUGUACCUCUGCAAUCGGAGAGAUUGAGGUCUGCAGCGUAGAUCCUUCGGGGUUAGAUACAUUUGUGCUAAGUUAUAGCUUUUCAUAGACAACUUGUUGACUAUGUUUAGUCUUGUAGCUUACUCGCUGACGCUAUUUUACCUACGCUUAGGAUGUUGAACUCUAUCACACACAG
Molecule: ribosomal RNA, 774 nt
Filed under: uncultured Neocallimastigales
Lineage: Eukaryota; Fungi; Neocallimastigomycota; Neocallimastigomycetes; Neocallimastigales
Description: partial large subunit ribosomal RNA
Rfam family: Eukaryotic large subunit ribosomal RNA
Source: RNAcentral